UGACCUUUACAUUGGUAGCAGCAGAUU
This 27-nucleotide non-coding RNA is filed under the name Homo sapiens (human). The record is from RNAcentral. Lineage: Eukaryota; Metazoa; Chordata; Mammalia; Primates; Hominidae.